Molecule: ribosomal RNA, 887 nt
Filed under: Leratiomyces sp. EE-2018a
Lineage: Eukaryota; Fungi; Basidiomycota; Agaricomycetes; Agaricales; Strophariaceae
Description: LSU rRNA
Rfam family: Eukaryotic large subunit ribosomal RNA
Source: RNAcentral
CUAGUARCWAGCGAGUGAAGCGGGAAAAGCUCAAAUUUAAAAUCUGGCSGYCUUUGGCCGUCCGAGUUGUAAUCUAGAGAAGUGUUAUCCGCGCUGGACCGUGUACAAGUCUCCUGGAAUGGAGCGUCAUAGAGGGUGAGAAUCCCGUCUUUGACACGGACUGCCAGGGCUUUGUGAUGCGCUCUCAAAGAGUCGAGUUGUUUGGGAAUGCAGCUCAAAAUGGGUGGUAAAUUCCAUCUAAAGCUAAAUAUUGGCGAGAGACCGAUAGCGAACAAGUACCGUGAGGGAAAGAUGAAAAGAACUUUGGAAAGAGAGUUAAACAGUACGUGAAAUUGCUGAAAGGGAAACGCUUGAAGUCAGUCGCGUUGUCUGGGGAUCAACCUUGCUUUUGCUGGGCGUACUUUCCAGAUGACGGGUCAGCAUCAAUUUUGACCGUUGGAUAAAGUCUGGAGGAAUGUGGCAUCUUCGGAUGUGUUAUAGCCUCUAGUUGCAUACAACGGUUGGGAUUGAGGAACUCAGCACGCCGCAAGGCCGGGUACUUGUACCACGUUCGUGCUUAGGAUGCUGGCAUAAUGGCUUUAAUCGACCCGUCUUGAAACACGGACCAAGGAGUCUAACAUGCCUGCGAGUAUUUGGGUGGAAAACCCGAGUGCGUAAUGAAAGUGAAAGUUGAGAUCCUUGUCAUGGGGAGCAUCGACGCCCGGACCAGACCUUUUGUGACGGAUCUGCGGUAGAGCAUGUAUGUUGGGACCCGAAAGAUGGUGAACUAUGCCUGAAUAGGGUGAAGCCAGAGGAAACUCUGGUGGAGGCUCGUAGCGAUUCUGACGUGCAAAUCGAUCGUCAAAUUUGGGUAUAGGGGCGAAGACUAAUCGAACAUCUAGUAGCUG